ACAACCAAAUCGUAGGCAGUUAGCCUAGAAAAUGCUAAAGUUGAAACAAUAUUUUGGCAUGAACAAAGUGGCCGGAAAUUGUGCACUCCGCCGUGAUCGUUGCCGGACGAUUGUACUUUCGAUUCUCUCCUCCAAGACGAUGGAAUAUUGAACGAGUAAUUUCAACUUUAAAGUUGUCUCUCAAGGAAGGUUCUGAUUUUAGGGUUUCUGAUUUUAACAUGGACAACUAUCAGUUUUAGGUUUCCAGUUACAACUACGAUGACAUAUACAGACGGUUUAAUGUUGCUGUUCUUUUGGCCAAUCUGCAUGAGUGUUUGUUCUUUAUAAAUGAUGUUUGCAAGAUAGGGCCUGAGUGUUGAAUAUAGAAAGUUGACAUUGAUCAUCAACACUGGAGGUGCAAUGACCAUUGGACACAACAGAGAUAUGAAGUAAAUAAGCUAGUGAAAGUAAAUAUUCAUUGGAGUGAAGCUCUAGCAACUUUAGACCAUUUGCGGCCAUCGUGGUGUGGUGCUAGAUGACAGUGAAGUCUACAAAUGACGAAGAGAGAAGGGUUGUAUCAGCUAAAGACUUAACGAAUGUGCUUAAAGUAGCACUGUAAGAGGGUUGUAUCAGCUAAAGACUUAACGAAGGUGCUUAAAGUAGCAAUGCUAUAUGAUUUUAAUGUUGGGAAAUUAUCUAUGUACCCGUUAAAGAUCUUUAUGUUUUGAGUUUGCAUUUUAUUUAUUUUAGAUCAUAGUUUUAUAAUUAUUGUUUUUGUAAGGUUUUGUUGUUGCGAUUUGUUGCAUAAU
This 788-nucleotide long non-coding RNA is filed under the name Helianthus annuus (common sunflower). RNAcentral describes it as "sRNA HanXRQr2_Chr09g0390061". Lineage: Eukaryota; Viridiplantae; Streptophyta; Magnoliopsida; Asterales; Asteraceae. The record is from RNAcentral.